Molecule: transfer RNA, 70 nt
Filed under: Dreissena polymorpha
Lineage: Eukaryota; Metazoa; Mollusca; Bivalvia; Myida; Dreissenidae
Description: tRNA-Pro
Rfam family: tRNA (bases 7-64)
About the family: Transfer RNA (tRNA) molecules are approximately 80 nucleotides in length. Their secondary structure includes four short double-helical elements and three loops (D, anti-codon, and T loops).
Source: RNAcentral
UCGCCGUGGCCUAGUGGAUAAGGCGCCCGCCUUGGGAUCGGGAGGUCGUAGGUUCGAGCCCCAUGGGGAG